Molecule: long non-coding RNA, 524 nt
Organism: Eublepharis macularius
Lineage: Eukaryota; Metazoa; Chordata; Lepidosauria; Squamata; Eublepharidae
Exons: 3
Source: RefSeq, a predicted model, not a curated record
GAGUCAUUCUUGUUCUGUCUUGAAGCUGCUUGAGAGAUCUUUGUGAAACCUUCAGCCAUGAGAUUUGUUUGCCUUCUCUUUGCUUUGGGGGUCCUUCUUUCCCACACUGGGGCAGAAAAACAGAAAUCCUGUGAAUCACUUGGAGGCUACUGCCGGGUUCCAGCAAAUGAAAGAUGUCCCUUUGGUCCUCCACUUCGUGGCUACUGUGAAAACAAUGGGAGAUGCUGCUGGCUGAUACCUACAACUUGCAAAGCAUUGGGCGGUGAAUGCCUGGUCGCAGUAAAUGGAGGCUGCCCCUAUGGUGAAGACCUUCCAGUCAGAUGUGGAUUUAAAGAGAGAUGCUGCAGCGUUAAGAGAGACUGAAGAGUAGCCCAGAGCUACAUGUGCAAUGUGCACGUCCCCUCCUUAAUCCUGAUUUCCUGAUAACAAAGACAGAUCCUUGAGGAAGAGAAGCAUGGCAGCAGUUAUGUUAGGGAAGGGUGAUAAAUUGGUAUAACUACCUGAUCAGCUUUGUUUAAUGUGGA